CAGUCGCCGCGGUAAUGCGUAGGGUGCGAGCGUUAAUCGGAAUUACUGGGCGUAAAGCGUGCGCAGGCGGUUAUGUAAGACAGGUGUGAAAUCCCCGGGCUUAACCUGGGAACUGCGCUUGUGACUGCACAGCUAGAGUAUGGCAGAGGGGGGUGGAAUUCCACGUGUAGCAGUGAAAUGCGUAGAGAUGUGGAGGAACACCGAUGGCGAAGGCAGCCCCUGGGCCAAUACUGACGCUCAUGCACGAAAGCGUGGGGAGCAAACAGGAUUAGAUACCCCUGUAGUCCCUGUCUCUUAUACC
Molecule: ribosomal RNA, 301 nt
Filed under: uncultured bacterium
Lineage: Bacteria
Description: partial 16S ribosomal RNA
Rfam family: Bacterial small subunit ribosomal RNA
Source: RNAcentral